AAUAACCUCAGCAAUGCCAUUUAUUAUAUACUUAGUAUGCUUGCUUUUGUUUCUAUUGAAAAGUACAAAUGUAUCUAGCAUGUACUAUAGAGAUAGAUUAAGUUGAUCCUUAAUCUACAAAACUUGAAUUGGAGUAACCGAAAAACAUUUGAACUAAUAAACUCUUGAAGUAAAUAAAGAUAUAAGAAAUUAUUAAACGUAAAAUGAAAUUUUAAUAUAAAUUUCCUAUAAAAAUUAUCUCUAAAAUUUUCAAAAAUACAUAAAUUGUUCAGACUACAUUACGAUAUUAAAAGAUAAAAGAAGUGUUCAAAAUUUUUGUUCAAUUUGACCAAUUUCCUUUAACAAUAAGUAAUUGUGAAAGUUUAUUCAUUUAAUAUUCAUUUCUAUUUGUCAUUGGUAUUGUUAGGAACAACUUUUGGAAACGCUUUCUGCUAUGUAUGGAUAUAUUUAUGUAAAAAGCUAAGAAUGUACUAUAUAUGAAGGAAUGUCUGUACACAUGGCGAUUUUUGUCACGAAAUCGAGGGCAUAUUUUCUGCCACACUUUAUUCUCAUAUUUAUUUACUUAUUUGUGUUGCCUUUUCACAACAAUAAACAUUGCGAUAAAAAUGAGUAUGAAAUGACUGACGUACAUAAAAAUCAACAUAAGGUGGCACAAAAGUGAUGAGCAAAAUGCGCAAUUUGUAGUGUGUGUUGAUGAGUAAAGCCGGUUUAACCGGCGAGGUGCUCGUUUUGUUCUAACAAGAUACGAGGGUAGUCGCAAAAAUGGACGGUUUUUAUGGAACAAACGGACAGAUCAAAAACUUGUGAAAAUUGCAAUAUUACGAGCUAAGUUGUUUGUAUAAUGAGUCAGGAGGUCAAAUGAUAUCUUUGAAGCAGUAUAAAACACUCACCACAUCUUUUUUAACUGACAACCCAACGAAAUCAUUAGAUCUACUAAGGCAAAUACCGCUUCGAAGAAUAAAACGGGUUUACUACAUUAAAAAAUACGAACCAACUUCAUUGUGGCUUCUCCAGAAUUCUCUUCGCUAAAACUUUGAAUCCCUUGUCUUGGAAAUCUAAAAAAAUUCUAAUAGAUAACAUUGAAAAAUUCGAUUCGAAA
This is a long non-coding RNA of Zeugodacus cucurbitae (melon fly), 1099 nucleotides long. RefSeq lists it as uncharacterized. The record is from RefSeq and is a predicted model, not a curated record. Lineage: Eukaryota; Metazoa; Arthropoda; Insecta; Diptera; Tephritidae. The transcript has 2 exons.